GUCGAGCAGUGCGGUGAUGGACCCUCCUGCUCCAGAAGCACCGCCUCUUGUUAUCAGGAAGAGGAGAGAGUCUGGCGGUGCAGCUAUUGUUCCUCCCGUUUUGGAAGUGACACCCACUGUUGUUCUGAGGCAUCAAGGUGUGCAAGACAAGAAGGAUACCCAGGGGCUGUUCAACAAUGUGAUAGAAGAAACUGCGAAACAGCUGGUUGAAGCUAGGAAGAGCAAGGUGAAGGCUCUGGUGGGCGCUUUCGAGACUGUCAUCUCCCUUCAGGAAAAAUAGGCCCAGAGGUAUGAUGUGCG
RNAcentral lists this unclassified non-coding RNA (300 nucleotides) under Hevea brasiliensis (rubber tree). The record is from RNAcentral. Lineage: Eukaryota; Viridiplantae; Streptophyta; Magnoliopsida; Malpighiales; Euphorbiaceae.